GUAGGUGGCAAGCGUUGUCCGGAAUUAUUGGGCGUAAAGCGCGCGCAGGCGGUUCUUUAAGUCUGAUGUGAAAGCCCACGGCUCAACCGUGGAGGGUCAUUGGAAACUGGAGAACUUGAGUACAGAAGAGGAAAGCGGAAUUCCACGUGUAGCGGUGAAAUGCGUAGAGAUGUGGAGGAACACCAGUGGCGAAGGCGGCUUUCUGGUCUGUAACUGACGCUGAGGCGCGAAAGCGUGGGGAGCAAACAGGGAUUAGAUACCCUGGUAGUCCACGCCGUAAACGAUGAGUGCUAAGUGUUAGGGGGUUUCCCGCCCCUUAGUGCUGCAGCUAACGCAUUAAGCACUCCGCCUGGGGGGUACGGCCGCAAGGCUG
Molecule: ribosomal RNA, 373 nt
Filed under: uncultured organism
Description: partial 16S ribosomal RNA
Rfam family: Bacterial small subunit ribosomal RNA
Source: RNAcentral